Molecule: ribosomal RNA, 810 nt
Filed under: uncultured archaeon
Lineage: Archaea
Description: bacterial SSU rRNA
Rfam family: Archaeal small subunit ribosomal RNA
Source: RNAcentral
GUUAAAAUCCAUACGCUCAACGUAUGGGCCGCCGGGAAUACUACAAAGCUAGGGAGUGGGAGAGGUAGACGGUACUCGGUAGGAAGGGGUAAAAUCCUUUGAUCUAUUGAUGACCACCUGUGGCGAAGGCGGUCUACCAGAACACGUCCGGCGGUGAGGGAUGAAAGCUGGGGGAGCAAACCGGAUUAGAUACCCGGGUAGUCCCAGCUGUAAACUAUGCAAACUCGGUGAUGCAUUGGCUUGAUGCCAAUGCAGUGCCGCAGGGAAGCCGUUAAGUUUGCCGCCUGGGAAGUACGUACGCAAGUAUGGAACUUAAAGGAAUUGGCGGGGGAGCACCACAAGGGGUGAAGCCUGCGGUUCAAUUGGAGUCAACGCCAGAAAUCUUACCCGGGGAGACAGCAGAAUGAAGGUCAAGCUGAAGACUUUACCAGACAAGCUGAGAGGUGGUGCAUGGCCGUCGCCAGCUCGUGCCGUGAGAUGUCCUGUUAAGUCAGGUAACGAGCGAGAUCCCUGCCUCUAGUUGCCACCAUUACUCUCAGGAGUAGUGGGGCGAAUUAGCGGGACCGCCGUAGUUAAUCCGGAGGAAGGAAGGGGCCACGGCAGGUCAGUAUGCCCCGAAACUCUGGGGCCACACGCGGGCUGCAAUGGUAAUGACAAUGUGUUCCGAAUCCGAAAGGAAGAGGCAAUCAAGAAACAUUACCACAGUUAUGACUGAGGGCUGCAACUCGCCCUCACGAAUAUGGAAUCCCUAGUAACGGCGUGUCAUUAUCGCGCCGUGAAUACGUCCCUGCUCCUUGUACACACCGCCCG